AUUGAACGCUGGCGGCGUGCCUAACACAUGCAAGUCGAGCGGUAACAGGUGUAGCAAUACAUGCUGACGAGCGGCGAACGGGUGAGUAAUGCUUUGGAAUCUUCCCAGUAGUGGGGAAUAACCAGUCGAAAGAUUGGCUAAUACCGCAUACGUCUGUAAAGGGGAAAGCGGGGGCUCGUAAGACCUCGCGCUAUUGGAUGAGCCAAAGUCGGAUUAGCUAGGUUGGGGGGUAAUGGCCUACCAAGGCGACAAUCCGUAGCUGGUCUGAGAGGACGACCAGCCACACCGGAACUGAGACACGGUCCGGACUCCUACGGGAGGCAGCGAGUGGGGAAUAUUGGACAAGUGGGGGAAACCCUGAUCCAGCGACGCCGCGUGUGUGAAGAAGGCC
This 391-nucleotide ribosomal RNA is filed under the name uncultured bacterium. RNAcentral describes it as "bacterial SSU rRNA". It matches the Rfam family "Bacterial small subunit ribosomal RNA", at positions 30 to 416 of the family's 1533-position model. The record is from RNAcentral.